RNAcentral lists this ribosomal RNA (1393 nucleotides) under uncultured bacterium. Its description in RNAcentral is "partial 16S ribosomal RNA". It matches the Rfam family "Bacterial small subunit ribosomal RNA". The record is from RNAcentral.
GAGUUUGAUCCUGGCUCAGAGCGAACGUUAGCGGCGGGCCUAACACAUGCAAGUCGAACGAGAAAGUGCUUCGGCAUGAGUAAAGUGGCGGACGGGCGCGUAACACGUGGGGAAUCUUCCUUUAGGUGGUGGAUAACAAUCCGAAAGGAUUGCUAAUACAGCAUAAGUCGGCGAGGACUCCGGUCCUUGCCGGGAAAGACGGCGCAAGCUGUCGCCUGAAGACGACCCCGCGUCCCAUCAGCUAGUUGGUGAGGUAACGGCUCACCAAGGCUUAGACGGGUAGCUGGUCUGAGAGGAUGAUCAGCCACACUGGAACUGCGACACGGUCCAGACUCCUACGGGAGGCAGCAGUGGGGAAUAUUGGGCAAUGGGCGCAAGCCUGACGACGCAACGCCGCGUGGAGGAUGAAGACCUUCGGGUCGUAAACUCCUUUCGGUCGAGACGAAUGGCCUCCGGGUGAACAAUCCGGAGGAGUGACGGUACCGAGAGAAGAAGCCCCGGCUAACUCCGUGCCAGCAGCCGCGGUAAUACGGGGGGGGCAAGCGUUGUUCGGAAUUACUGGGCGUAAAGGGCUCGUAGGCGGCCAACUAAGUCGGACGUGAAAUCCCUCGGCUUAACCGGGGAACUGCGUCCGAUACUGGAUGGCUUGAGAUCGGGAGAGGGAUGCGGAAUUCCAGGUGUAGCGGUGAAAUGCGUAGAUAUCUGGAGGAACACCGGUGGCGAAGGCGGCAUCCUGGACCAAUACUGACGCUGAGGAGCGAAAGCCAGGGGAGCAAACGGGAUUAGAUACCCCGGUAGUCCUGGCCCUAAACGAUGAAUGCUUGGUGUGGCGGGUAUCGAUCCCUGCCGUGCCGAAGCUAACGCAUUAAGCAUUCCGCCUGGGGAGUACGGUCGCAAGGCUGAAACUCAAAGGAAUUGACGGGGGCCCGCACAAGCGGUGGAGCAUGUGGUUCAAUUCGACGCAACGCGAAGAACCUUACCCAGGCUUGAACAGCGAGUGACCACUCCCGAAAGGGAGCUUCCGCAAGGACACUCGUAGAGGUGCUGCAUAGCUGUCGUCAGCUCGUGUCGUGAGAUGUUGGGUUAAGUCCCGCAACGAGCGCAACCCCCGUCUCAUGUUGCCAGCAUUCAGUUGGGGACUCAUGAGAGACUGCCGGUGACAAACCGGAGGAAGGUGGGGAUGACGUCAAGUCAUCAUGCCCCUUAUGUCCAGGGCUACACACGUGCUACAUUGGCGCAUACAGAGGGUUGCAAUACCGCGAGGUGGAGCGAAUCCCAAAAAGUGCGUCUCGGUUCGGAUUGGAGGCUGAAACUCGCCUCCAUGAAGGUGGAGUUGCUAGUAAUCGCGGAUCAGCAACGCCGCGGUGAAUACGUUCCCGGGCCUUGUACACAC